This 88-nucleotide transfer RNA is filed under the name Schizaea pusilla. RNAcentral describes it as "tRNA-Ser". It matches the Rfam family "tRNA". Rfam says of the family: Transfer RNA (tRNA) molecules are approximately 80 nucleotides in length. Their secondary structure includes four short double-helical elements and three loops (D, anti-codon, and T loops). Further hydrogen bonds mediate the characteristic L-shaped molecular structure. tRNAs have two regions of fundamental functional importance: the anti-codon, which is responsible for specific mRNA codon recognition, and the 3' end, to which the tRNAs corresponding amino acid is attached (by aminoacyl-tRNA synthetases). tRNAs cope with the degeneracy of the genetic code in two manners: having more than one tRNA (with a specific anti-codon) for a particular amino acid; and 'wobble' base-pairing, i.e. permitting non-standard base-pairing at the 3rd anti-codon position. Lineage: Eukaryota; Viridiplantae; Streptophyta; Polypodiopsida; Schizaeales; Schizaeaceae. The record is from RNAcentral.
GGAGAGGUGGCCGAGAGGUCUAAAGCAGUGGAUUGCUAAUCCGCCGUACAAAAUCCAUGUACCGAGGGUUCGAAUCCCUCUCUCUCCC